This is a small nucleolar RNA of Protopterus annectens (West African lungfish), 81 nucleotides long. RefSeq annotates it as small nucleolar RNA SNORD74. The record is from RefSeq and is a predicted model, not a curated record. The transcript has a single exon. Lineage: Eukaryota; Metazoa; Chordata; Ceratodontiformes; Protopteridae.
UAUUUGGAAUGAUGAAGAAAAAUAUGUUGGUAGGGACAUCUGAAAUUGAAUGAUGGGUGCCAACAUUUCUGACCAAAUUUA